CAAUGUUCUGAGUUCUCUAUUACAAGAAUAGGGGUUACUCCCUCUAUUUAUAGAUUUAGGUUAACUUACUCCCUAAGUCAAAGCUCAAAACUAUAAAAGUCCAAAAUAGUUAACACUGCUAAAAAUAGGCCUAAAUCGAAAUUCUGUGUGAAGCAACAUACUUCGACACAUUAGUACAACUCGACACACUAGGUGAUUCGACACUUCCUUGUUUUGUCGAGCAACCUGCUUCGACACAAGGAAUUACAAUUCAACACACCACCUAAUUCAUCGU
This 274-nucleotide long non-coding RNA is filed under the name Lathyrus oleraceus (garden pea). Its description in RNAcentral is "Pisum sativum (pea) long non-coding RNA (PSAT_LNC002221)". The record is from RNAcentral. Lineage: Eukaryota; Viridiplantae; Streptophyta; Magnoliopsida; Fabales; Fabaceae.